Dermacentor albipictus is the source of this 905-nucleotide long non-coding RNA. RefSeq lists it as uncharacterized. NCBI's taxonomy places the organism in Eukaryota, Metazoa, Arthropoda, Arachnida, Ixodida, Ixodidae. The record is from RefSeq and is a predicted model, not a curated record.
CAAGCACAUGCCGUGCAUCGCGCGCGCGCUCUAACGUCGGAGUAGAGUGUUACCUGCGGCGAGCCAGUUGCCGUUUUUCUUUCUCGGGCCAGCGCGGUGCCUUUGCGCCGGCACUGGCGGCAAGCAUGCGGCAAGAGCAGGCAGGCUGAGUGUUAUCGCGGUCGCUGCUUCCGUCAGGCCCCCAGCGACCGUGAUAUGCGCAGCCUACCGCAUAUGCUUACCGCCAGUGAUCUUGGCUUUGCCGUGGACGGGCAUCGAGAUUAAGUGCGCUUGCUGCAUUGUUGCUGUCGAUAGCGCCCUGCUCCCUGCCUCUGGUUCGCCGGUACCCGUGUGUGCAGCUAAAGACGCCGACGCUCUGGGCAAUGAAAUCUGCGGAGUCAUCGAGGAUGCCCCGCCCCUUACUUCAACCCGUGGCCUUGUGACGUCACCAGCAAGUUACCCUAUAAAGACUACACCGUUCCUGAUGAACUUCAGUGGGCACGGCGAAAGCGCUGGGCGCAGGUCACUCACCAUGCGUUUCGUUGUCGUCUUACAGGUGGCACAAUGAAGCGCGAUCCGGCUGUCAAGUUCAAUCGCCCAUGCAGUUGUCGCCAGAAGGCCACCAUUGGACGCGUACUCUCUUGGCGAACAGAUUAAACGCAGGAAGCCCUUCUUUGGGAAGGCCGUUAUGCACGAAAAUAUUAUUUUUUUUUUAUUUCCUUAAGGCGAAAGACGGAAGCUGUAGCCAGGGAACAGUUUGAGCAGAAAAUAGGAGGGCCUGUUUUGCAGGUUGGUCUCAUUGUGCAUCUGAAGCAACCAUGGCUGUGUGCCAGCCCUGACUUUUCAAGUAUGAAGACCGAACAACUCUGCUGGAAAUUAAGUGCCCGUACUCCAGGAAAGACGAUGUACUUAUCGACCACACCAAG